GGUGAACCUGCGGAAGGAUCAUUACCUUUCAAUGCAGAAGAGUUGAGGUGGUUGAGUAUCUCGCCCCUCAAUUCUCGCUGUAUUUUACCCUUGUUUUUCUCGUACUAUUAUUUCCUCGGCAGGCCAGCCUGCCGGGUGAAACAACUUCAAACCUGUUUAAUUUUCAAUCAGCGUCUGAACAAAUUAAUAAUUACAACUUUCAACAACGGAUCUCUUGGUUCUGGCAUCGAUGAAGAACGCAGCGAAAUGCGAUAAGUAGUGUGAAUUGCAGAAUUCAGUGAAUCAUCGAAUCUUUGAACGCACAUUGCGCCCCUUGGUAUUCCAUGGGGCAUGCCUGUUCGAGCGUCAUUUGUACCUUCAAGCUCUGCUUGGUGUUGGGUGUUUGUCCUUGCCCUAGUGGCGGGACUCGCCUUAAAGUAAUUGGCAGCCAGUGUUUUGGUUUUGAAGCGCAGCACAAGUCGCGAUUCAAGUCUAUACGCUAGUUUCCACAAGUCUUUUAUCACUUUUGACCUCGGAUCAGGUAGGGAUACCCGCUGAACUUAAGCAUAUCAAUAAGCGGAGGAA
RNAcentral lists this ribosomal RNA (564 nucleotides) under Pleosporales sp. 4 MMW-2015. Its description in RNAcentral is "eukaryotic LSU rRNA". The stretch from base 195 to 348 matches the Rfam family "5.8S ribosomal RNA". Lineage: Eukaryota; Fungi; Ascomycota; Dothideomycetes; Pleosporales. The record is from RNAcentral.